CCCAGACUCCUACGGGAGGCAGCAGUGGGGAAUAUUGGGCAAUGGGCGCAAGCCUGACCCAGCAACGCCGCGUGAAGGAUGAAGGUUUUCGGAUUGUAAACUUCUGUCGCGAGGGACGAAGAAUGACGGUACCUCGUAAGAAAGCCCCGGCUAACUACGUGCCAGCAGCCGCGGUCAUACGUAGGAUCCGAGCAUUAUCCGGAGUGACUGGGUGUAAAGAGUUGCGUAGGUGGCAUAGUAAGUAGCUAGUGAAAUCUGGUGGCUCAACCAUUCAGACUAUUAGCUAAACUGCUAAGCUCGAGACCGUUAGGGGUAACUGGAAUUUCUAGUGUAGGAGUGAAAUCCGUAGAUAUUAGAAGGAACACCGAUAGCGUAGGCAGGUUACUGGGACGGUUCUGACACUAAGGCACGAAAGCGUAGGGAGCAAACGGGAUUAGAUACCCCCGUAAU
RNAcentral lists this ribosomal RNA (450 nucleotides) under uncultured bacterium. RNAcentral describes it as "bacterial SSU rRNA". It matches the Rfam family "Bacterial small subunit ribosomal RNA", at positions 330 to 794 of the family's 1533-position model. The record is from RNAcentral.